This 500-nucleotide ribosomal RNA is filed under the name uncultured bacterium. Its description in RNAcentral is "partial 16S ribosomal RNA". It matches the Rfam family "Bacterial small subunit ribosomal RNA", at positions 30 to 523 of the family's 1533-position model. The record is from RNAcentral.
AUUGAACGCUGGCGGCAGGCUUAACACAUGCAAGUCGAGCGGGGGAAGGUAGCUUGCUACCGGACCUAGCGGCGGACGGGUGAAUAAUGCUUAGGAAUCUGCCUAUUAGCGGGGGACAACAUCUCGAAAGGGAUGCUAAUACCGCAUACGUCCUACGGGAGAAAGCAGGGGAUCUUCGGACCUUGCGCUAAUAGACGAGCCUAAGUCGGAUUAGCUAGUUGGUGGGUAAAGGCCUCCCAAGGCGACGAUCUGUAGCGGGUCUGAGAGGAUGGUCCGCCACACUGGGACUGAGGCACGGCCCAGACUCCUACGGGAGGCAGCAGUGGGGAAUAUUGGACAAUGGGGGGAACCCUGAUCCAGCCAUGCCGCGUGUGUGAAGAAGGCCUUAUGGUUGUAAAGCACUUUAAGCGAGGAGGAGGCUACUUUAGUUAAUACCUAGAGAUAGUGGACGUUACUCGCAGAAUAAGCACCGGCUAACUCUGUGCCAGCCGCCGCCGUAA